Long non-coding RNA from Xenopus laevis (African clawed frog), 533 nucleotides. RefSeq lists it as uncharacterized. Lineage: Eukaryota; Metazoa; Chordata; Amphibia; Anura; Pipidae. The transcript is spliced from 3 exons. The record is from RefSeq and is a predicted model, not a curated record.
GUUCCUGAAAGUGAUAACAGCUCAAGAGUACAGUGGUGAUUCUGAUACAGAGCAUGGAGAAAGGUCACACAAAGAUACUAUGUACAGAGAUUAUGAUGUUCAAUAUUCACAGCAUGGACCAGGGAGCUAUAUUACAUCCCCAAAGCAUAAGAAAAAUGCAAAUGAUUAUGAUGGUAAUAGUAACUACAGUGAUGGUAACUACAAUGAGGAAGAAGAAGAAGAUUUUGCUGAAUAGCUGAAACACUACAGACAAGCAAAGGAGAACACAAAUGUGGCUGAACUACAAUGUGAAAGGAAUUUAGCAAGGUAAAUGUAUUGAAACAUACAUCAAUGAAGAAUUGUUGCCACUUAUUACAGACAUGCUGUUUUUAGUCUUCACAAGCGCUUCACGUAGGGGGUAGCAUCCGGAUGAAUAUAAUCAGCGGUGGAGCCGAAGAAUAAAUUAAAAGUUCAACUUUAUUCAAUCCCUUUAAAAUAGUAUAUACAAGCGUGCACAGUAUGCAAUUGGCAAUAAAGAGUCGCAUAUGAGUUAA